GAACGUUAGCGGUGUGGAUUAGGCAUGCAAGUCGUGCGCGAAAGCCUUCGGGCGAGUAAAGCGGCGAAAGGGUGAGUAACACGUAAUCAACGUACCCCUGAGAUCGGAAUAACUGCGGGAAACUGUAGAUAAUGCCGAAUGGUCCCCGCGGAGGGCAUCCUCUGCGGAGUAAACGGUGGCUUCGGCUGCUGCUUAGGGAGCGGGUUGCGGACUAUCAGCUUGUUGGUGGGGUAAUGGCCUACCAAGGCUUUGACGGAUAGCGGGUCUGAGAGGAUGAUCCGUCACACUGGGACUGAGACACUGCCCAGACUCCUACGGGAGGCUGCAGUCGAGAAUCUUCCGCAAUGGGCGAAAGCCUGACGGAGCGACACCGCGUGCAGGAUGAAGGCCUUCGGGUUGUAAACUGCUGUCACGCCAUAGGAAUGUCCUGUCGUUAAUAGCUGCAGGAUUGACCAAAGCGAAAGGAAGUACCGGCUAACUCCGUGCCAGCA
This 491-nucleotide ribosomal RNA is filed under the name uncultured Planctomycetota bacterium. Its description in RNAcentral is "bacterial SSU rRNA". It matches the Rfam family "Bacterial small subunit ribosomal RNA", at positions 31 to 513 of the family's 1533-position model. Lineage: Bacteria; Pseudomonadati; Planctomycetota. The record is from RNAcentral.